GGCGAGUGGCGACGGGUGAGUAAUACAUCGGAACGUGCCCAAUCGUGGGGGAUAACGCAGCGAAAGCUGUGCUAAUACCGCAUACGAUCUACGGAUGAAAGCAGGGGAUCGCAAGACCUUGCGCGAAUGGAGCGGCCGAUGGCAGAUUAGGUAGUUGGUGAGGUAAAGGCUCACCAAGCCUUCGAUCUGUAGCUGGUCUGAGAGGACGACCAGCCACACUGGGACUGAGACACGGCCCAGACUCCUACGGGAGGCAGCAGUGGGGAAUUUUGGACAAUGGGCGCAAGCCUGAUCCAGCCAUGCCGCGUGCAGGAUGAAGGCCUUCGGGUUGUAAACUGCUUUUGUACGGAACGAAACGGCUCUUUCUAAUAAAGAGGGCUAAUGACGGUACCGUAAGAAUAAGCACCGGCUAACUACGUGCCAGCAGCCGCGGUAAUACGUAGGGUGCAAGCGUUAAUCGGAAUUACUGGGCGUAAAGCGUGCGCAGGCGGUGAUGUAAGACAGUUGUGAAAUCCCCGGGCUCAACCUGGGAACUGCAUCUGUGACUGCAUCGCUGGAGUACGGCAGAGGGGGAUGGAAUUCCGCGUGUAGCAGUGAAAUGCGUAGAUAUGCGGAGGAACACCGAUGGCGAAGGCAAUCCCCUGGGCCUG
RNAcentral lists this ribosomal RNA (650 nucleotides) under Variovorax sp. EECC-204. RNAcentral describes it as "bacterial SSU rRNA". It matches the Rfam family "Bacterial small subunit ribosomal RNA", at positions 90 to 737 of the family's 1533-position model. The record is from RNAcentral. Lineage: Bacteria; Pseudomonadati; Pseudomonadota; Betaproteobacteria; Burkholderiales; Comamonadaceae.